GCCUGGCUGGCUCAAUUGGUAGAGCAUGUGACUCUCAACCUCAGGGAGAUGAGUUUGAGCCCCAUGUUGGUCA
Molecule: transfer RNA, 73 nt
Filed under: Mustela putorius furo (domestic ferret)
Lineage: Eukaryota; Metazoa; Chordata; Mammalia; Carnivora; Mustelidae
Rfam family: tRNA
About the family: Transfer RNA (tRNA) molecules are approximately 80 nucleotides in length. Their secondary structure includes four short double-helical elements and three loops (D, anti-codon, and T loops).
Source: Rfam by way of RNAcentral